ACUCCUACGGGAGGCAGCAGUGGGGAAUAUUGGACAAUGGGCGCAAGCCUGAUCCAGCCAUGCCGCGUGAGUGAUGAAGGCCCUAGGGUUGUAAAGCUCUUUCACCGGUGAAGAUAAUGACGGUAACCGGAGAAGAAGCCCCGGCUAACUUCGUGCCAGCAGCCGCGGUAAUACGAAGGGGGCUAGCGUUGUUCGGAUUUACUGGGCGUAAAGCGCACGUAGGCGGACUAUUAAGUCAGGGGUGAAAUCCCGGGGCUCAACCCCGGAACUGCCUUUGAUACUGGUAGUCUUGAGUUCGAGAGAGGUGAGUGGAAUUCCGAGUGUAGAGGUGAAAUUCGUAGAUAUUCGGAGGAACACCAGUGGCGAAGGCGGCUCACUGGCUCGAUACUGACGCUGAGGUGCGAAAGCGUGGGGAGCAAACAGGAUUAGAAACCCGGGUAGUCCCA
This 446-nucleotide ribosomal RNA is filed under the name uncultured organism. RNAcentral describes it as "partial 16S ribosomal RNA". It matches the Rfam family "Bacterial small subunit ribosomal RNA", at positions 335 to 797 of the family's 1533-position model. The record is from RNAcentral.